CUAGGAUGAACGCUGGCGGCGUGCUUAACACAUGCAAGUCGAACGAAGCGAUUUCUUGCUUGCAAGAAAUUGACUAGUGGCGGACGGGUGAGUAACGCGUGGGUAACCUGCCUCAGUACAGGGGGAUAACAGUUGGAAACGACUGCUAAAACCGCAUAACCCGCUAGUGUCGCAUGACACGGACGGAAAAUAUUUAUAGGUAUGAGAUGGGCCCGCGUCUGAUUAGCUAGUUGGUAAGGUAAUGGCUUACCAAGGCGACGAUCAGUAGCCGACUUGAGAGAGUGAUCGGCCACAUUGGGACUGAGACACGGCCCAAACUCCUACGGGAGGCAGCAGUGGGGAAUAUUGGACAAUGGGGGAAACCCUGAUCCAGCGAACCGCCGCGUGAGUGAAGAAGUAUUUCGGUAUGUAAAGCUCUAUCAGCAGGGAAGAUAAUGACAGUACCUGACUAAGAAGCCCCGGCUAACUACGUGCCAGCAGCGGC
Molecule: ribosomal RNA, 484 nt
Filed under: uncultured bacterium
Lineage: Bacteria
Description: bacterial SSU rRNA
Rfam family: Bacterial small subunit ribosomal RNA
Source: RNAcentral